GGGCGGCAGAUUGAUUGGCUAGAAUAUCCUGAAUAUCCGUGUUGACCUCCAAGGGAGUUGUACCUUCAACGGAGGUACCAAUCUCCAAAGCCUGUUCCCGCAUCUUCCGCCUGUGACGUUUUUUAACUCUUUUGGCAGCUGGUCCCUCAGUGCUGAUUCCAGGAGCAGGUAUCUCAUUUUUCUGUGUAAUAACAUUGUCAACAAUAUUGUCUGUUUGAUUUUCAGACAAAGGGGCGGCAGAUUGAGUGGCUAGAAUAUCCUGAGUAUCCAUGUUGACCUCCAAGGGAGUUGUAUCUACCUCCAAGGGAGUUGUACCUUCAACCGAGGUACCAAUCUUCAAAGCCUGUUUCUGCGACUUCGUCUUCCGCCUGCGACGUUUGUCAACUCUUUUGGCAGCUGGUCCCUCAGUGCUGAUUCCAGGAUCAGGUACCUCAUUUUUCUGUGUAGUAACAUUGUCAACAAUAUUGUCUGCUUGAUUUUCAGACACAGGGGGGGCAGAUUGAUUCGGUAGAAUAUCCUGAAUAUCCAUGUUGACCUCCAAGGGAGUUGUACCUUCAACCGAGGUACCAAUCUUCAAAGCCUGUUUCUGCGACUUCGUCUUCCGCCUGCGACAUUUGUCAACUCUUUUGGCAGCUGGUCCCUCAGUGCUGAUUCUAGGAUCAGGUACCUCAUUUUUCUGUGUAAUAACAUUGUCAGCAAUAUUAUCUGUUUGAUUUUCAGACAAAGGGGCGGCAGAUUGAUUCGGUAGAAUAUCCUGAAUAU
Molecule: long non-coding RNA, 762 nt
Filed under: Erythranthe guttata (spotted monkey flower)
Lineage: Eukaryota; Viridiplantae; Streptophyta; Magnoliopsida; Lamiales; Phrymaceae
Description: long non-coding RNA (EGUT_LNC002623)
Source: RNAcentral